CAGCACCCUAUACACGUGCCUUUGUGCUUUGCUCAUUGAGCUGAAAAGCAAAGCGCGAAACCCUUAGCAGUGCUCUCUGUAAUCCAUACACCCCAUUCCCUCAAAAAUCCCAAAAAUUAAAUAAUGAAAUAAACUAUUCCUAAUAAUAACAAGAACCCUUUUAUCUUUGGAUCUCUCUCAUCACCUCCCCCUUCCUCCUCCUCUCUUUCUAGGGUUUUGCUUCAGCUCGUCUUUGGCUCCCUAUAUCACAUUUACUCCAUCUCGUUGGGACAAGUGGUCAAAAAGUUUUUUGGGUUUGUUCAUCAAUGGGUGAUGCAGAACAUGCACUUCCACCUUCAAAGAAGAGAGCUGCUGGAAGGGAGAUCUCAAGAGACAACCCUGGUCUUGAUGAUGAGGAAGAUUCUGCAGAGCAAGAGACUGGAACUUUCAAGAAGGCAAGUGAUGAGGUGCUGGCUAGCAGACGAAUUGUGAAAGUUCGCCGCAAUCAGACCUCAUCAACCCCUUCAUCUAAUCCAUUUGCUGGGAUUCAGCUGGUCCCUCCUACUGAACCAACAACAACCCCUGCUGUGGCAACAGCUGAAGUAGUUGCUGCUAGUGAGAAAGUUUCAGAAGAUGGGAAAACUGAUGCUGGUGAAGAAACUGAAGGGCAUAAAGAUGAGACUGGUAAGGAGUCAGAAAGCAAGGUUGAAGAGCCAGUAGCUGAAACUGCUGCAAAGGUGGAGAUCACAGAGGAUAAGGAGAAUAAUAAUGUAGUCAAUGAGGCAACUGAAUCCAAGGUUGAUAAUGAAAAGCCAGCAGAAGAUGAUAAGACUGAGAAUGAAAAAGCAGUGGGUGGAGAAGAGACAGAGAGUAAAAAAGCAGCAGAAGGUGACAAGACUGAAAGUGAAGUGAAGGAUAAUGGUAGUGAAAAUAUAGAUCCAAGUUCUGAAAGCACACGUUUGAGUUCAUUCCAACAGCUUUCAAGUAGCCAAAACGCUUUCACAGGACUUGCUGGAACUGGGUUUUCCACUUCUACAUUCACCUUUGGUUCGAGCACUGGUACCGGUUCUCUGUUUGGGCAGAAAAAUGACCAGCCUUCAUUUGGUUUUGGUCUUUCUAAUAAUGGUAGUUCUUCAAUCUUCAACACAACAGGGUCUUCUGCUGUCUCAAAGAAUGAGGGAACUGGUUUUCCAUCUAUGCAUGAGGUUCCAGUUGAGACAGGAGAAGAGAAUGAGAAUGUAGUUUUCUCUGCUGAUUCAAUUUUAUUCGAGUUUUUUAAUGGUGCCUGGAAGGAGCGCGGAAAGGGGGAACUCAAGGUGAAUGUCUCUACUGCUGGGACAGAAAGAGCCAGACUCCUUAUGAGAGCUAGGGGUAAUUACAGGUUAAUUCUGAAUGCAAGUCUUUACCCUGACAUGAAGCUCACAAACAUGGACAAGCGAGGUGUCACUUUUGCUUGCAUGAAUAGUACUGGUGAAAGUAAGGAUGGUCUUUCUACAUUUGCACUGAAGUUCAAGGAUGCCUCCAUAGUAGAAGAGUUCCGAGCAGCUGUAGCAGCAAAUAAAGUUAAAACGGCUACAGAUCUAAAGACACCAGAGAAUUCACCCAAGGCUUCGGAUGAGUGAAAGGAUCGCUGCAUCAAUACACAGAAUUCUUGUCCUUGGGCUGCUGUUUCCUUUUCUUUGCGGCAAAAGAGAAGAGCCUUGUUUUGGAGUCAUGCUUGAGACCUAUGUAGCAGAUCCUUUUUUAUUAUUUAACUUCAGUCUAGCCCUCAGGAGAAUGUUAUUAGUUUUAUUUUGGGUCAAUCCCAGGUUCGGACUGCAUAAUUUGUAGCUCAAGAGAGUUGGAAUGUUUGACAAUUUUAUAGUUGCUCCCUUUAAUAAGGGAUAUAUAUAAUAUCAAAUUGCAUAAGUUGCAUGUUGAUAUUAUCGCAUCAUAGCUUACCUUACAUAUCUUGUGUGCAAAGUUGUUUGCAAUGGGGUCUUAUGCUCUGCAUAUGACACUAAUUUCAAUAACAUCUGAAUGCUUUCUUUUGCAUUGAUGAAUUAUGGU
RNAcentral lists this unclassified non-coding RNA (2028 nucleotides) under Hevea brasiliensis (rubber tree). Lineage: Eukaryota; Viridiplantae; Streptophyta; Magnoliopsida; Malpighiales; Euphorbiaceae. The record is from RNAcentral.